GACGAACGCUGGCGGCGUGCUUAACACAUGCGAGUCGAACGGAAAGGCCUUUUCGGAGGUACUCGAGUGGCGAACGGGUGAGUAACACGUGGGUGAUCUGCCCUGCACUCUGGGAUAAGCCUGGGAAACUGGGUCUAAUACCGGAUAGGACCGCACUUUAGUGUGUGUGGUGGAAAGUUUUUUCGGUGUAGGAUGAGCCCGCGGCCUAUCAGCUUGUUGGUGGGGUAAUGGCCUACCAAGGCGGCGACGGGUAGCCGGACUGAGAGGUUGGUCGGCCACAUUGGGACUGAGAUACGGCCCAGACUCCGACGGGAGGCAGCAGUGGGGAAUAUUGCACAAUGGGCGCAAGCCUGAUGCAGCGACGCCGCGUGGGGGAUGACGGCCUUCGGGUUGUAAACUCCUUUCGCCAGGGACGAAGCGUUUUGUGACGGUACCUGGAGAAGAAGCACCGGCUAACUACGUG
Molecule: ribosomal RNA, 463 nt
Filed under: uncultured bacterium
Lineage: Bacteria
Description: partial 16S ribosomal RNA
Rfam family: Bacterial small subunit ribosomal RNA
Source: RNAcentral